UGAAUUCAUCUCCGGGGGUAGAGCACUGUUUCGGCUAGGGGGCCAUCCCGGCUUACCAACCCGAUGCAAACUGCGAAUACCGGAGAAUGUUAUCACGGGAGACACACGGCGGGUGCUAACGUCCGUCGUGAAGAGGGAAACAACCCAGACCGCCAGCUAAGGUCCCAAAGUCAUGGUUAAGUGGGAAACGAUGUGGGAAGGCCCAGACAGCCAGGAUGUUGGCUUAGAAGCAGCCAUCAUUUAAAGAAAGCGUAAUAGCUCACUGGUCGAGUCGGCCUGCGCGGAAGAUGUAACGGGGCUAAACCAUGCACCGAAGCUGCGGCAGCGACACUGUGUGUUGUUGGGUAGGGGAGCGUUCUGUAAGCCUGUGAAGGUGUGUCGUGAGGCAUGCUGGAGGUAUCAGAAGUGCGAAUGCUGACAUAAGUAACGAUAAAGCGGGUGAAAAGCCCGCUCGCCGGAAGACCAAGGGUUCCUGUCCAACGUUAAUCGGGGCAGGGUGAGUCGACCCCUAAGGCGAGGCCGAAAGGCGUAGUCGAUGGGAAACGGGUUAAUAUUCCCGUACUUGGUGUUACUGCGAAGGGGGGACGGAGAAGGCUAUGUUGGCCGGGCGACGGUUGUCCCGGUUUAAGCGUGUAGGUGUGUGUUCCAGGUAAAUCCGGUUCACUUUAACACUGAGGCGUGACGACGAGGCACUACGGUGCUGAAGCAACAAAUGCCCUGCUUCCAGGAAAAGCCUCUAAGCAUCAGGUAACAUCAAAUCGUACCCCAAACCGACACAGGUGGUCAGGUAGAGAAUACCAAGGCGCUUGAGAGAACUCGGGUGAAGGAACUAGGCAAAAUGGUGCCGUAACUUCGGGAGAAGGCACGCUGACACGUAGGUGAAGUGAUUUACUCAUGGAGCUGAAGUCAGUCGAAGAUACCAGCUGGCUGCAACUGUUUAUUAAAAACACAGCACUGUGCAAACACGAAAGUGGACGUAUACGGUGUGACGCCUGCCCGGUGCCGGAAGGUUAAUUGAUGGGGUCAGCGCAAGCGAAGCUCCUGAUCGAAGCCCCGGUAAACGGCGGCCGUAACUAUAACGGUCCUAAGGUAGCGAAAUUCCUUGUCGGGUAAGUUCCGACCUGCACGAAUGGCGUAAUGAUGGCCAGGCUGUCUCCACCCGAGACUCAGUGAAAUUGAACUCGCUGUGAAGAUGCAGUGUACCCGCGGCAAGACGGAAAGACCCCGUGAACCUUUACUAUAGCUUGACACUGAACAUUGAGCCUUGAUGUGUAGGAUAGGUGGGAGGCUUUGAAGUGUGGACGCCAGUCUGCAUGGAGCCGACCUUGAAAUACCACCCUUUAAUGUUUGAUGUUCUAACGUGGACCCGUUACCCGGGUUGCGGACAGUGUCUGGUGGGUAGUUUGACUGGGGCGGUCUCCUCCUAAAGAGUAACGGAGGAGCACGAAGGUUGGCUAAUCCUGGUCGGACAUCAGGAGGUUAGUGCAAUGGCAUAAGCCAGCUUGACUGCGAGCGUGACGGCGCGAGCAGGUGCGAAAGCAGGUCAUAGUGAUCCGGUGGUUCUGAAUGGAAGGGCCAUCGCUCAACGGAUAAAAGGUACUCCGGGGAUAACAGGCUGAUACCGCCCAAGAGUUCAUAUCGACGGCGGUGUUUGGCACCUCGAUGUCGGCUCAUCACAUCCUGGGGCUGAAGUAGGUCCCAAGGGUAUGGCUGUUCGCCAUUUAAAGUGGUACGCGAGCUGGGUUUAGAACGUCGUGAGACAGUUCGGUCCCUAUCUGCCGUGGGCGCUGGAGAACUGAGGGGGGCUGCUCCUAGUACGAGAGGACCGGAGUGGACGCAUCACUGGUGUUCGGGUUGUCAUGCCAAUGGCACUGCCCGGUAGCUAAAUGCGGAAGAGAUAAGUGCUGAAAGCAUCUAAGCACGAAACUUGCCCCGA
RNAcentral lists this ribosomal RNA (1936 nucleotides) under Salmonella enterica. RNAcentral's name for it is "partial 23S ribosomal RNA". It matches the Rfam family "Bacterial large subunit ribosomal RNA", at positions 885 to 2802 of the family's 2925-position model. The record is from RNAcentral. Lineage: Bacteria; Pseudomonadati; Pseudomonadota; Gammaproteobacteria; Enterobacterales; Enterobacteriaceae.